Molecule: ribosomal RNA, 315 nt
Filed under: uncultured bacterium
Lineage: Bacteria
Description: bacterial SSU rRNA
Rfam family: Bacterial small subunit ribosomal RNA
Source: RNAcentral
GAUGAACGCUGGCGGCGUGCCUAACACAUGCAAGUCGAACGAGGGCAGAUUGAAACCUAGUGAUAUCUGCCCGAGUGGCGGACGGGUGAGUAACGCGUGGACAACCUGCCGUAUGCAGGGGGAUACCAGCUGGAAACAGCUGCUAAUACCGCAUAUGCGCACAGGGCCGCAUGGCCUGGUGCGGAAAGGAGCAAUCCGGCAUACGAUGGGUCCGCGUCCGAUUAGCUAGUUGGCGGGGCAGCGGCCCACCAAGGCGACGAUCGGUAGCCGGCCUGAGAGGGCGGACGGCCACAUUGGGACUGAGACACGGCCCAG